CCUGGGUUCCGUCUCCCUGGGCCCAGCCUGAGUUCUCUACAGCCAUCCUUUCCAAAUGUGUGACCUGCCUUGUGACCCUGAACCUGGGCUUUGAGGAUGUGUGUACGUGGUGGAGCAGCAAAGGCAGAAGGACCUCACCGGCUGCCAGGCUGCACUGACCGCGUGCUGGGCUGCGCUGUGUUGCUGCUGCCUGAUGGAUGAGCUGAGCUGAGCACAGGACCAAGCUGCCGCCUCCUGGAACUGAUGAAAGACUAAUGCUGCUCACUUUACACUCCCCGCUCCUACUCCCUUUCCUUUCUUUUUCCUACCUAAUCUACAGCAUUAAAAACAUUAGUACCCGCCCACCAGAGGAGAGCUUGACUGAUAGAGCCUGAAACUUGUAUGCCUGAGGCUCCCAGUUUGAUCCCUUGUGUUGUAUGUAACAGAGUGCUGUUUGAGAUCUCUCCUUUCUCUCUCUCUCUCAUGAAACUCGAUGUGAAAUAAAUCUUUAAAAAAAAUUAGCACCUACUAAAAGGUAUGAGUGCUUUCUUGCGUAUUCUAAUCUGACUUCCCUGGUAAAUAUUUUUUUGUGUGUGAUUUAUUUCUAUAUAUUUUCCAAGUUACUUGGCAUUUCUUUAUAGAUCUUUUUUUAUAGAUGCCUUGAGAGGAGAGAGAAAGAGAACCAGUGCAUCAUUCUGGCAUGUGCAGUGCCAGGGAUCAAACUUGGAACUUGUCUCUAAUCACUCUGCCACCUCCCCAGCUGCAGUUUGUUUUUUCUUAUUGAUCUGUAGGAAGUCCUUAAAUAACCUGCACGCUAGUAUUGUUACUUUUGGAGGUUUGCAAUAUAGUGUUCUUUUCUCCUAGCCUUUUUUAGAAGUCCCCUCCCCAAUAUUAAAGGUUUUUAAAUAUCAUGUUUAA
Molecule: long non-coding RNA, 897 nt
Organism: Erinaceus europaeus (western European hedgehog)
Lineage: Eukaryota; Metazoa; Chordata; Mammalia; Eulipotyphla; Erinaceidae
Exons: 2
Source: RefSeq, a predicted model, not a curated record